This 2290-nucleotide long non-coding RNA is filed under the name Mus musculus (house mouse). RNAcentral describes it as "long non-coding RNA chr11:53601944-53604234". The record is from RNAcentral. Lineage: Eukaryota; Metazoa; Chordata; Mammalia; Rodentia; Muridae.
AAAGAAAAAAGAAAAAAAAAAAAAUAAAAAAAAAAAAAUAAAAAAAAAAAAUAAAAAAUGAGACCAGUCUCAUUUUUCAGAAAAUGAAACAAAGUAAAAAAAAAAAAACCUUUUAAUUUUCUUUAUUGUAUAUAUAAAUUUUAUAUAUAAAAAUACUCUUCUGGAUUUCUUGCAUUGAUUAAUCCAGUUAGAUGGAAUUCCUCUACAUAAAAACGUUAAUACUCACUGUAUAGUAGGGUAACUUGUAAUAGAGAAGUUUUGGUUUUGUUGUUUACGUAUAUAAUUUUUUGAAGGUCAUGUGCUUCCUAAACCCAAGUUUGAAGUUAUACAAUCAACUCUGAGCUAUUGAUUCCAAAAGUUUUGAGACUUCCCACGUGAGGAUAAAUUAAAUUGCUAUGAUUUUAACAAGUUUGGAUAAAUACUGACUUACAGCUACAUUGCUCUGUGUGGCUGCGGAUGACUGAUCAGAGGGGCAUCCCUGGCGAGAGGUGGAAAACAUGGCCGGACAGUUUUAGGCUCUCCUGAAUUAGAGCCCUGAGUAUCCUGGAUGUGCAGGCUGCUGGUGUUAGCAUGGCGUGCGGCAGCAUCUUCUAUUGUGAGUGUGGCCUGCUGUGACUCAAUGAGCUCUGUGUGUGUGUGUGUGUGUGUGUCUUGCAAAGGCUCAUGUGAGCUGAGCAUCUUGGUGACGUCAAAUUUCGCAAUGAUGUAAAUUUACAUGUUAGUAAUUAGAAGAAUCUAUAUGCCUUCAUUUUAAAAGUCCAUGUUUCUAUCAUUUAGCAGUUCAGUUGGCCUAGAAGGAAUAUCUGCUGUGAAUUAAGCUAAAACAUGAGAGAAAUUAAAUCUAGUUAAAUCAGUAACACAAGUAACUCCAUAAAACUAACAAUUUAGAAGCUUCUCUAAGCAUCUUGACUUAGUAAUUUUAUUUGCUUGCUUGUUUUUUUGAGACAGGGUCUCUGUGUUAGCCCAGGCUGGCCUGGGACUCGUCGUAAUCCUUCUGCCUCAGCCUCCCAGGUGCUGAGAAUGCAGAUGCAUGUUAUCAUACCAAGCCAUAUGUUUAUUAAAGCAUUGAUGUUAAAACUCUAAUCAGGUGGACAUUGUUCAUUUUCUGAAAAACCAAAUUCGAUUCUCACCAGGUGGGGAGGUCUGUUGAAGAAGGUAGGAAGCCCACUUCUGCCACAGCCAUGCUGUGGCUGCUUCUCAUGGACUCUGUCUUCAUCUGCAAAUGGAAUCAUUUUCAGUGUUAAUUCCAUGAAUGGAUAGAGAUGUAGGACAAACUUAAUGUUUAAAAUAAAUGUACAGAUUUACAUGAGUGGAACAGAUCUAUAAAUAGGCUAUUGAUACAUAGCCCUUUUUCUUUGAUUUAAAAGGUAGUAUUUAUUUAUUUGAACUGUAUAGUGUGUUAUGGCUGGCUUUGCAUUUACAUACCCUGACAGUUAGGCUCUCUCCACUCAGUGUCCACUGUGAUCUUAAGUCUUGGCUUAAAGGAAGGCUCUGCAGCUGCUGUUUGCCCCCAGAAUCCUCUGGUAAGCUGUCUCAUUUAUAUUCUGGAAAAGGUGAUUUUCAAAUUUAUGUUUUUGGCAGCCAGAACAUCAGGGUUAGUUUGGAAGGAGAGGGGGAAGUGUUACUUCAUCUGCAACAUGUUUUAAAGUGAUAAUUAUAGUUUCAGCGAUUUUAUUUCCAUUUUAAGUUUAUGUGGCCCAUCCCCCUUUUCUCUUUGAACUCUUAACACAAGGAACACCUUUUUUCCUUAUAGAGCUGUGAAUUAAGGAAUGGGCAGAGUUUACAUUUACACACACCUGUGUCUGCCCAGUUUCUCCUCUCUCCCCUCUUCCAUUUUGAAAUAGAGUCCAAUGUAGUCCAGGCUGGCCACAAACCCUCUGUGUAGCCCAGGUUGGCCUUUAAGCUCCUUAUCCUCCUACCUCCAUCUAACAGUUGCUGGGAUCAUACUUAUGCACCAGCCACCACACUGAGCUUUGCCUCCACCCCUUCUUAACAUACAUAAUUGUUCUCUGUCUUCCUUUUUCUUAAAAUACUAGAACCCAUAGUUCUUCUUAGUGCCUUUGAGCUGACCCUGCAGUCUGACUAAUUAGAAUCAGUGAAACCCUGAGUAGUGUUACUGUAAUGCUGUUACCGACCAGGAAACAAACUGUACAGAAAGUUGGCUGUGUUAAUUCAAAAUCCACACUUGAGCUGUAUUUAAUGUAUAAAUUGUACUUGUCCAAGCUGUAUAUAUCAAUGCUGUGUGUACGUGCAGCCCAGGAGGAUGAGAAAUAAAUGCCUCCCCAUGCCU